GCCCCUGUAGCUCAAUGGAUAGAGCAUCGCACUCCUAACGCGACGAUCCAGGUUCGAUUCCUGGUGGGGGCA
This 72-nucleotide transfer RNA is filed under the name Parcubacteria group bacterium. Its description in RNAcentral is "tRNA-Arg". It matches the Rfam family "tRNA". Rfam says of the family: Transfer RNA (tRNA) molecules are approximately 80 nucleotides in length. Their secondary structure includes four short double-helical elements and three loops (D, anti-codon, and T loops). The record is from RNAcentral.